UUUUUUUCCUUUUCUUCUUUUUCUUUCCUUUUUCUUCUUUUUCUUUCCUUUUCUUCCUUUUUCUUUUAUCUUCUUCUUUUUCUUUCCUUUUUCUUUCCUUUUUUCUUUUUCUUUCCUUUUUCCUUUUCUUCUUUUUCUUUCCUUAUUUUCUUUUUCCUUUCCUUUUUUCUUCUUUUUCUUUCCUGCUUCUUUUUCUUUCCUUCUCUACAUACAGUUAAGUAUUUUUUGUAUAUAAUUAAGUCUUCUCUGCACAUACUUAAAUCUUUUAUGCACACAGUUAAGUAUUUUAUGCAUCACAC
RNAcentral lists this long non-coding RNA (299 nucleotides) under Phoenix dactylifera (date palm). RNAcentral describes it as "long non-coding RNA (PDAC_LNC004099)". The record is from RNAcentral. Lineage: Eukaryota; Viridiplantae; Streptophyta; Magnoliopsida; Arecales; Arecaceae.